Molecule: ribosomal RNA, 517 nt
Filed under: uncultured Glomus
Lineage: Eukaryota; Fungi; Glomeromycota; Glomeromycetes; Glomerales; Glomeraceae
Description: SSU rRNA
Rfam family: Eukaryotic small subunit ribosomal RNA
Source: RNAcentral
AGCAGCCGCGGUAAUUCCAGCUCCAAUAGCGUAUAUUAAAGUUGUUGCAGUUAAAAAGCUCGUAGUUGAAUUUCGGGGUCGGUAGGUUGGUCAUGCCUCUGGUAUGCACUGGUCUCACUGAUUCCUCCUUCCUGAUGAGCCGUAAUGCCAUUAAUUUGGUGUUGCGAGGAAUCUGGACUGUUACUUUGAAAAAAUUAGAGUGUUUAAAGCAAGCUGACGCUUGAAUACAUUAGCAUGGAAUAAUGGAAUAGGACGUUCGAUCCUAUUUUGUUGGUUUCUAGGAUUGACGUAAUGAUUAAUAGGGAUAGUUGGGGGCAUUAGUAUUCAAUUGUCAGAGGUGAAAUUCUUGGAUUUAUUGAAGACUAACUACUGCGAAAGCAUUUGCCAAGGAUGUUUUCAUUAAUCAAGAACGAAAGUUAGGGGAUCGAAGACGAUCAGAUACCGUCGUAGUCUUAACCAUAAACUACUGCCGACUAGGGAUCGGAGUGAUGUUUAAUUUUUUAAUUAGUACUCAUUC